AGAGCUCUAUGUUAUAUAAACACUAAGGCUUCAAACCUUAAAAAGAAAAUACACCUUUUCGAGCUCUA
This 68-nucleotide transfer RNA is filed under the name Orbinia latreillii. RNAcentral's name for it is "tRNA-Trp". The record is from RNAcentral. Lineage: Eukaryota; Metazoa; Annelida; Polychaeta; Orbiniidae.